This 591-nucleotide long non-coding RNA is filed under the name Populus trichocarpa (black cottonwood). Its description in RNAcentral is "long non-coding RNA (PTRI_LNC002318)". Lineage: Eukaryota; Viridiplantae; Streptophyta; Magnoliopsida; Malpighiales; Salicaceae. The record is from RNAcentral.
UGUUCCAGAUCCUGAAGAGGUUAGCGUUCCCGAGUCUGAAGAAGUAAAUCUGCUCCCCCAAUCUGAGGUGACUGGACCUGGUAAGGAGGUCAUCCAAGAAAGUGCUGAAACCGCUGCUAACGUUGUGAAGCUGCAAAGUAACAUAGACCUUGAAGACCAGUUUGUACUGAUCCCACAAGCUGCUGAAAUUCAACCAGAAAUCUUGAAUUCCAUGCAAUGUCAAGGCAGGGAUGCUAUUAGUUCUGCAGAUAUUGAGUCCCCUGCAGCAGAGGACAAUUUUGAAAUACUUGAAGGAGCUGCCACAGAAAAUCCACGAAGUUCAGAAGAAGUAAAUCUGUUCCCCCAAUCUGAGGUGAGUGGACCUGGUAAGUCAACACAAGAGGCCAUCCAAGAAAGUGCUGAAACCGCUGCUAACGUUGUGAAGCUGCAAAGUAACAUAGACCUUGAAGACCAGUUUGUACUGAUCCCAAAAGCUGCUGAAAUUCAACCAGAAAUCUUGAAUUCCAUGCAAUCUCAAGGCAGAGAUGAUAUUAGUUCUGCAGAUAUUGAGUCCCUUGUAGCAGAGGACAAUUUUGAAAUACUUGAAGGAGC